UGGGGGCACAGUGCAUGGUUCCACUUGUAAAAAACCUGUUUUAUGAGAAACACACUUGAAAGAAAGAUACUGAUUAUGCUUCAGCUGAAGUAGGAAAGGCAGGAGUAGCAAUCAUGAGCUCAAGCAAAGCAAAAGCAAAAAUAGGCCUAAUUAAAAGAGAUAAUCAGGGAAACUUCAUUUGGCUAAAUAGAUACCAUAGACAAUGAAUUAAUUAACUUGCAUCAACCCUCACACAUAGAAAAGAGCCGAAGGGGCUGAAAAUUCACGAGGAAAGAUCAUAAUGGACAAAAGGGGAAAGACCACUAGGGACAGCAAUAGGGGCUGCCACUUGCAGAGAAGCCCCUUCAGGAAGAUACGCUUUCUUUUUCUUUUUUUUUUUAGAAUGAGAAUUUUUUUUAAAUAACUUUUUUAUUGACAGAACCCAUGCCAGGGUCAUUUUUUACAGCAUUAUCCCUUGCACUCACUUCUGUUCCGACUUUUCCCCUCCCUCCCUCCACCCCCUCCCCCAGAUGGCAAGCAGUCCUUUACAUGUUGAAUAGGUUACAGUAUAUCCUAGAUGCAAUCUAUGUGUGCAGAACCGAACAGUUUUCUUGUUGCACAGGGAGAAUUGGAUUCAGAAGGUAAAAAUAACCCGGGAAGAAAAACAAAACCAGCAUUCACUCUUGCAAAUCCUUGUGUUCCAAUUUUUUUCUCUCCCUCCCCAGCUCCCUUCUCUCCUAGACAGCAAGUAAUUUAAUAUCAAUUCAUCAUGUGCAAUUCUUCUAAGUAUAUUUCUACAAUUACCAAGCUGUACAAGAAAAAUAAGAUCACAAGUGAAAAAAUGAGUAAGAAAAAAUACAAGCUAACAGCAACAGAGAGAGUGAGAAUGCUAUGUUGUGGUCUGCACUCUGUUCCCGUGGUUCUCUCUCUGGGUGUAGAUGGCUCUUUUCAUCACUGAACCCACGGAACUGGUUUGACUCCCAUCAUUGCUGAAGAGAGACACAUCCAUCAGAAUGAUCCUCAUACAGUCUUGUUGUUGAAGUCUAGAAUGAUCUCCUGGUCCUGCUCGUUUCACUCAGCGUCAGUUCCCGUCAGUCUCUCCAGGCCUCCCUGAAAUCCUCCUGCCGGUCAUUUCUUACCGAACAAUAAUAUUCCAUAACAUUCACAUACCACAAUUUAUUCAGCCAUUCUCUGCUGGGCAUCCACUCAGCUUCCAGUUUCUGGCCACCAUGAAACGGGCUGCCACAGACAUUUUGCAUCUAUCUACUCUGGCUUUUCUCCGUCUUCAUUGCCAUCCCUCCAUCCUCUGGGUGCUCCUCAUCUAUCAAUGUGUUCUCCUUUACUCUCUCUGAGCUUCCACCAUUUUCUGUACCUCUUUUGUCCAUAUAGAAAGACUAUAUCCUUUGGAACUUUUUUGGGUGGUUAAGAUGCACAUAUCUGACCACAUGGAAAUGAAUUUUUUUCAUUAUAGCCAGGCCCCUGAUGGUCAGUAAGUAUUUAUUCUGCUCCUCCAUGGCAGCUACUGAGAGUACAAAGAAAGGCACAAGACAGUCCCUGCCCUCAAGGAGCUUGCAGUGUAAUGGCAGAGAGAACAUGAAGACAAAUAUAAACAAAUUACAUGGAGGAGAAGUCGGAAAUAGGCACGGGAAUAACAUGGGGCUGCAGAAGGUUUUCUGUGGGAAGGGAAGAUUUUAUUUGGGAUUUAAAAGGAGCCGGGGAGGUCAGAGUGUGGACCACAACAUAACAUUCUCACUUUUUCUUGUUUGCUCGUAUUUUUUCCUUAUUUUCUUCCCUUUCGCUUUUUCUUGUGCAGCAUGAGAAAUAUAGAAUGUAUGUAUAGAAUGUAGAAAUGUGGAUAGAAUUGCACGUGUCUGACAUAUAUUGGAUUGCUUGCUAUCUAGGGGAGAGGGGGAAGGGGGGAAAUUUAGAGCGUGGGGUUUUUGUAAGAGUGAAUGUUGAAAAUGUGUUUUGAAAAUCAAAAAGCUUUACUAAUAAACAGGAAAAAAAGAAAGUUUCCAUCUUCAAGAAGCUUAUAAUGAAGUAGGGAAAGCCAACAGAAAAAAACUGAAAGGGGGUAAAGGACGAGAGGCUGAUGAGAUCAUCAAGUGAAAGGAUAUCGAGGGAGAACGGGAGAGGGUCUAGGACAGAACCUAGAGGCAUCCAUCCGCACGGUGGUGUGGUCUUUCUGUCUCUUUCUGUCUCUCAGAGUGGUCGGAGAGGGAAAAGAUUCAGGAGAGAAGCAGAAAUACACCAAAAACCUAGAGAGGAGAGCGUCCAGGAGCAUAGACCGGCAGUGACAAAGCAUACAGAGAGAUCAAGGAGAGUGAGGAUGAAGAAAAGGUCACUUGGAUUUGGCGACGAAGAGCUCACCGAUAACUUUGGAGAGAAGUUUCAGUGGAAUAAGCUUGCAAGCCAAAGUAAAAGAGGAAGUCGAGGUGUUUGUGGAAGCGGCCUUGCCGAGGAGUUUGGGUCCAAAGGGUAGGGAGAGUGUGGGAUGGUAGGGAGCAGGGAUGGAGGGAUCCAGAGAGGCCUUUCUCAGGAUGAGGAAGCCAUGGGCACGCUCGUAGGCAGUAAGGGAGAGGCGGGGAGAGGAGCCAAUUCAUGUUCCUGGAUUCCAUUAGCUCUAUGUGGCUCCUCAUUUUCAUUCCUCCUUGACCUGUUAACACUGUAUGUUCAGCCUGCCUGGGACCUUUUGGUCUUUAGCCGGGUCCCUUUCUCCUCUCCUCCACCACCCUCCUCCCCGCAACGAGCACGGGCAGAUCAACUGGGGAAAUGGAUCGGGACAUAGGGUAGUAAAUAGGGCUGUUCCCGGGUGGGGUGGGAGAAGGCAACGCGAUAUAGCGAGCGCGGCCGAGGACCGUGGAGCUCUUGGAAGUACGGUGUAGCCGGCUCGUCGUCACCCACCCAGGGGUACCCGAACGCUCCCGCUCACUACCGCCUUCCGUGAGGGAAAGACCCCAAAGAGAACUCUCUUCUGGGCAUUGGCGCAGCCCGCUUCGGCGAUACUACGUACCAGGUCCGAGGAGACCGUGGCGGCAGGCCUCCCGCCAUCCCGUCACCUUUGCUAACUUGCCGAGUGUGGAGCGAGACGUUAUUUUCAGUGGAACUUCUCCAACGAUUAAUGCUCGGGAGCAAUUUUUCAUGUACUUGGUAAGAGUGUAAAUGUCUUAUUUUGAGACCUUUUGCAAGAUGGUUUUUACAGUUGAGUGUGUUCCUCGUGUAUCUGGGAUGUCAGUUAGCUUCCUUGUGUAAAAAACCAUUUUAUUUUGAAAAGCGUCCACGUCCACCCCUGCAGUCCCUUUUCCUACUCGCCUAGUGCCGAACGCUUCUAUCUAGUUAGAAAAUGUGCUCCCUCCUUCCUUGCCCUCUUCUCGACGAGAGGGCUUUUUACUACAUCACGUGCCAUUGGGGGCUUUUUUUGGGGGGGGGGGCGUCUCUGGAUUAAGAUGACUGGCGGUAUAAUUCCCAUUUCACAAGGCUCUCGGCCAACGGUUGAACGGCAGAUAAAAUCCUCGGCAGUGGGGACUGGGACCCUUUUGGCUUUUCAUAUUUGCUGUUGAAUUGAAGGUAUGAAUGUGGACUAAUUUCCCCCCCUUUGUCACCCAAGCCUCCUGAUCGAGGUACUACUCUGCUCUCCGGUCCCAGCCAGGGUAGAGAUGGAAAUGAGAAAAACUUCUUAGUGUAGAUUGGGGCAGUUAUCAAGGCAGCUAGGUGGCUCAGUGGAUCAGGAGGACCCGAGUUCAAGUUUGGCCUCAGACAUGUAUUAGCUAUGUGACCCUGGACAAGUCACUUCCCCCGUUGAUCUUAAUCCACUGCAGAAGGAAAUGGCAAACUGCUUUGCCAAGAAAACCCCAUGGACGGCACUGAUGUGGUACGGUCCACGGGGUCGGGCAGGACAGAUCGGACGGUAGCUGUGGUCCAGUCUUAGUCCCAAGGGAAGGCCUCCCGCUCCCAUCGCUCCCCAGUCCCCUCCGGUGACCCAGCUUUCCAAGCCGUCUAGUCCACCCGCAAGUUGAGGAACGGUGGAAAACAUGCAGCGGCUCUUAGGGGGAGCCCAUUCCCUCUUUCCUUCCUGAAUUGUUCUCUAGGUCUCCCUGAACCCCCCGGCCCAGAGGCCUUCCCAGAAGCCCCUUGGCUCCCAAAGCAGAGAAGCUGCGACACUGGAGCCGGAGGGAGCCUUCAGACUCCCGGCUGGCCAAGACGACCGGCGGGACUUCCAGAGCGGCCGAUCUGGUGGCUUUAGACCCAGAGCCGUGAAAGUCGCCAGAGACGCGGGUCCUCGUGGUUCCCCUGCCCCUCCCCUUCCGUCGGGCCUCGGCCCUGGCGCAAAAAAGUAGGAACUCCCGGGACCCGGAGGAGAGUUGGAGCAGAACUUUAUUCCCCUUCAGGCGGGAAAGGGAGUGGCAGAUGCAUGUCCCCUCCCCCCAAAAACCUAUCUCGACAAAAUAAAACAAAAAAAUUUAAAAACAAAAACAAAACAAAAAAAUACCCAACUGUUUUCGGAGCCUAAGGACCAGAGAGGUGUUUGGAGCAAGGAGCGGGAAGCAGCCAGCGGGGACACCUCGAUAAGGCGGCGGCCUAGCCUGCGCCAGUAGUACAGCGGCGGUGCCGGGCCGUGUUCUAAGCCCAGAACCGCGUCCCUCCCCC
Molecule: long non-coding RNA, 4626 nt
Organism: Antechinus flavipes (yellow-footed antechinus)
Lineage: Eukaryota; Metazoa; Chordata; Mammalia; Dasyuromorphia; Dasyuridae
Exons: 2
Source: RefSeq, a predicted model, not a curated record